UCUCUUUUUUCUUAGUGAGUCUGCCUAAGAGAUUGUCAAUUUUGUUUAUCUUCUCAAAGAACCAGCUCAUAGUUUCAUUGAUCCCUUCUACUGCUUUUUACAUUUUAAUAGUAUU
Molecule: non-coding RNA, 115 nt
Organism: Ceratotherium simum simum (southern white rhinoceros)
Lineage: Eukaryota; Metazoa; Chordata; Mammalia; Perissodactyla; Rhinocerotidae
Source: RefSeq, a predicted model, not a curated record